RNAcentral lists this ribosomal RNA (245 nucleotides) under uncultured bacterium. RNAcentral's name for it is "partial 16S ribosomal RNA". It matches the Rfam family "Bacterial small subunit ribosomal RNA", at positions 524 to 768 of the family's 1533-position model. The record is from RNAcentral.
UACGGAGGGUGCAAGCGUUGUUCGGAAUUAUUGGGCGUAAAGAGCGUGUAGGCGGCCAGGCAUGUCAGAUGUGAAAGCCCUUGGCUCAACCAAGGAAGGGCAUUUGAAACUGCCUGGCUUGAGUACGAGAGGGGGAAGCGGAAUUCCCGGUGUAGAGGUGAAAUUCGUAGAUAUCGGGAGGAACACCGGUGGCGAAGGCGGCUUCCUGGAUCGAUACUGACGCUGAGACGCGAAAGCGUGGGGAG